This is a long non-coding RNA of Nymphalis io (European peacock), 386 nucleotides long. RefSeq lists it as uncharacterized. The transcript is spliced from 2 exons. The record is from RefSeq and is a predicted model, not a curated record. NCBI's taxonomy places the organism in Eukaryota, Metazoa, Arthropoda, Insecta, Lepidoptera, Nymphalidae.
UUGUUUUAAAUAAGAGGGUUGAAUUUUCGUAACAUCAUUAGCAAAGUUAGUGAGCGCGACUCCACUUCAUUAACUGACGGCUUGUCUUCAGUAAUAAAAAUGAAAUUAUCCACUAUUUUCGUAAUGUUGGUAGCAGUGCUUUCAAUCUUUGCUGGACAAAGUAGUGCAGCUCCUAGACUGAACUUUAGUUCUAUCAGGAAGGGCGCUCGGUUCAUAAGAAAAGGUCUUGAGCUUAUUGGCGAUAUUGGUACAGCCCAAGAACUUUAUGAACAUAUUCGGUUCAAAAAAUAAAAUUAUUAAGGAUGGGGCUUAAUGGUGUGUGAGUUACAAUAGUGCAAUUAUUUAUGAAUAUAAGUAUUAAGUUUUAAUAAAUAUAUUAAUAUAAU